Molecule: ribosomal RNA, 267 nt
Filed under: Escherichia coli
Lineage: Bacteria; Pseudomonadati; Pseudomonadota; Gammaproteobacteria; Enterobacterales; Enterobacteriaceae
Also listed under: 2 other names
Description: partial 16S ribosomal RNA
Rfam family: Bacterial small subunit ribosomal RNA
Source: RNAcentral
CGCGAGAGCAAGCGGACCUCAUAAAGUGCGUCGUAGUCCGGAUUGGAGUCUGCAACUCGACUCCAUGAAGUCGGAAUCGCUAGUAAUCGUGGAUCAGAAUGCCACGGUGAAUACGUUCCCGGGCCUUGUACACACCGCCCGUCACACCAUGGGAGUGGGUUGCAAAAGAAGUAGGUAGCUUAACCUUCGGGAGGGCGCUUACCACUUUGUGAUUCAUGACUGGGGUGAAGUCGUAACAAGGUAACCGUAGGGGAACCUGCGGUUGGA